Molecule: ribosomal RNA, 253 nt
Filed under: uncultured prokaryote
Description: partial 16S ribosomal RNA
Rfam family: Bacterial small subunit ribosomal RNA
Source: RNAcentral
UACGGAGGAUGCAAGCGUUAUCCGGAUUUAUUGGGUUUAAAGGGUGCGCAGGUGGUUUAAUAAGUCAGUGGUGAAAGUCUGCCGCUUAACGGUAGGAUUGCCAUUGAUACUGUUGGACUUGAAUAUGGAUGAGGUAGGCGGAAUGUGUAGUGUAGCGGUGAAAUGCUUAGAUAUUACACAGAACACCGAUUGCGAAGGCAGCUUACUAAUCCAUGAUUGACGCUGAGGCACGAAAGCUGGGGGAGCAAACCGG